UAUGGCCACAUCACAUUGAAACACCAGUUCCCGUAUGAUUACCAAAGCUAAACAAUGUCAAGCCUUAUCAGUAACUAGAUGGGUGACCACUUGGGAAUGCUAGGUGUUGUAA
Molecule: non-coding RNA, 112 nt
Organism: Acanthosepion pharaonis
Lineage: Eukaryota; Metazoa; Mollusca; Cephalopoda; Sepiida; Sepiidae
Source: the annotation of a GenBank genome assembly